This 2634-nucleotide long non-coding RNA is filed under the name Sus scrofa (pig). RNAcentral describes it as "lncRNA (ENSSSCG00035020562.1)". Lineage: Eukaryota; Metazoa; Chordata; Mammalia; Artiodactyla; Suidae. The record is from RNAcentral.
UUUUUUUUUUCCUUUUUCCAUGCAAUUCAUAGUUUAAAAUUGUAUCUUUUUUUCCCCAAACCCUUCAAAACUGUCCCAGUCAAUUUCUCGGCUAUAAUACGGCAGGAUGGUCACUGAUACAUAAAUGCGUAAAUCUCACUUUCCUUUCAGCUGACGUAACUUUUUAUGCACGGAGAGCGCAUUGUGCUUUUCAUUCAGUGUCCUUACUCUUUGCUCCCCCAACAAUUCUUUGUUACGAUCUGUGAAAACCUCCCCUUUACUUCAACGUCAGUUUGAGUCCCCCCCUCCAACCUCUUCUAUGACGCCUUUACUGGUUGACUUUAAUUACAGGACAGUCCCUUCCUUUAAGCUAUGAGAACAAUCAACUGAAUUAUUAUUCACAAGGAUGAGCAUCUUGGAUAAUAGCGAUAUAUUUAUGUCUCAAAACCAGUAAAUCGGAGCUCCCAUUGUGGCUCAGUGGUUAACGAAUCCGACUAGGAACCAUGAGGUUGCAGGUUCCAUCCCUGGCCUCGCUCAGUGGGUUAAGGGUCCAGCGUUGCCUGAGCUGUGGUGUAGGUCACAGACACGGCUGGUUUCCCCAGUUGCUGUGGCUCCGGUAUAGGCCAGUGGAUAUAGCUCCACUUAGACCCCUAGCCUGGGAACCUCCAUAUGCCAUGGGAGAGGCCCAAGAAAAGGCAAAAAAAAAAACCACCUGUAAACCAUAAAACUUUUUCAAGUUUAUUAUCAUCCUGAUGUGUACAACUGUAUGUCUUUCUGGCCACAGGUCUGUGCAGCAAGCAUUCACCAAAUGUUUUACAGAAUCAGUGAAGGAGCUCCCGGCGUCCAGGGACAUUAAUGUGAAGGGCGGUUUGGAUUAAACACACAAAAAAGGAGCAGCAUGGAACAGUGGGUGCUCAACUGUUCACUCAAUUGAGUUGUUUUCGUAAUUGAAAUUUCUUAAAUUGGCUUGUGUAAUAAGUGUGGUGAAACUGACUCAGAACUUGUUAGGUCCCCUGCUUAUUAGGUCAACUGGGCAGAACUGACACGCUAAUAUAUGUAUUUCCAAAGGAAUCUCUUGAAAUUCAGUUGAACUAUGAUUGAUGAAAAGGAAGGAUGAAGGGGGUUAUAAUUAGAUUGCUUUGCAUUCUGAAAUUAUGUUUCCAAAAUUCAAAGGCAUAAAUAUCGAUGCAGAUCUGGGGAUGUGACUACACGAUGCCAAAAAACGGCAACAGAAAGUGGAAAGUGUGCUCAAAGACUCACACGCUCUAUUUCUACUGAAUGAACUACCUUUAAUCUCCCCCUGUUAAACCGGAUGGAUGAAUUGUGGCAUUAUAUUUAUAAAUCAGAAUUGUUAAAAUUAAGUCUUAUACUUACUCUGAAGAAUCUUGUCCCUUAAAAGAAGGUCCGAGCAAAACUCCAAUCCUAAAUGGCAAAGGGAUUAAUUGAAUGUGAACAUAUCCAUCAAUUACAUGGAUGUUUGAAAACAGCAAGCGAAGUGAUUUCUUGUGAGCUAAAUAGCAACUAAUUUUUUUCAUUUUCUCUGAUCAUGAGAGUUUAAGGGCACUAUAAUUUUAUAUGCAACACAAAAAUUAAAUAAAACUAAUUCUAUUUAAUUUAUAAAUUUAUAAUUCUACAAAUAGAACUUAAUUUUGAUACAUGAUAUAAAUCUUUACUUAAAAUUAAAGAUACAAUGCUAUUUCUCAAAGAUGGAAAAAAGCUGAAAAUAACCAUAUAUGUAUUUAAAAUUUUUGAUUUAGCUUCUUUGUUAAAGUUUUUAUUUGGGCCUACCACACCAGUGCUAAGAAUACCAACAAAACCACUGCCAUUGAGGAGCAGAAUUGAUUGUAAAAAUAACUAGAGUAUUUUCCGUGUUCUACUUAAAAGAGUCAUCUUUUAACCCCAUACCUUAAAAAUGAUUAACUUUCUAACUUGGAAACUAAAUACGAUUUUAACUCAAAAUUAAGAACUCAGGGAAAUUAAUUUUUUUAUCACUCUUUAAAUGUGUCAGUAGGAUUGGCCAAAUAAAACUUUAAUCCUAGACCUGGAAAUUAGACUAAAUUAUUAUUUGAGAAAAUCAAACCUAUCACCAAAGUUAUUGAUCUACUAGCUUUGUGUAGACAUGGCCAAAGACUAAUUUCAUCCAUUAAACUAUUUAGAGCGGUUUCUCUUGAAAACAUCUUGAUUUCCUGAGUUUUGUCCUUGAGAGCAGCUGAGACUUAUUGGACUGUCACAGCCAAAUUACCUGGAGCAGAAGGUAUUUUUAAACACAUGCUUUCCCAAAGUAGGCAGCUGCUCACUGCAUGAUUUCUUUGGGCACUGCUGUGCUCAGCAGUUAACUUUCUUUCCUUGAAGGUACCAGGAUAAGGAAGAUAACCUCAACACAUUGUUUUUCUGUAAUUUUUACGAUGUUCUCAGUACUAUAAAAGGGCUGAUAUUUGACAGCAAAGAAAGUAUGUAUUAAAAAAAAAAACCUUGUAAGAAUUUGAAGUUACUUUAUAUAGGGGAAAUAUUAACAACAAAUCUUCAAAAUUUCUCUAGUGUUUUUCUCAAGCAUAGCAAAGUAAAUCUAUGCUGUCUCUACAGAGAAAGGAAACUGCUGCCUGUAACAUUUGUUCUUUUUUGUUUGUUUGAUCACUUGUUUUUAAAUAUCAGCUU